GUAAUGUAUGUAUUGCAAUGAGGUCGCGUCUAAAUCUUGGAUAUUUAAACCAAAUAAACAUAUUAACUCGAGAGAUCGUUUUUGAAAGGUCACCACAUAUUUGUCGUUGCUCUCUUAAUGUAGAGGACAAUAUUUAAACUUCACAUGUAUUGUUGGUAAGCCAUACGCAGUUGUUGGUGAACCAGGUUUCUAUAAUUAGACUGUGCCAGCACGUUGUUUAUCAUAAUAAUCAACGUCUUCACAUACAUAAGAAGUACCAGUUUGAAGUAUUUUCAGGCAGUACACACGCGUCUAAAAUGAACGAAUUCGUAAUGCUGGUGUACUUGGCCGUUUUUUCCCUGUUUGUGGCCUAUUUUAAUUAUCUUGCCAUGCUGUUCGGUUUAUUGACAUCACUUGUAUUCGGCGCAAUUGGACCAUUUUUAUUAACAAAUCUUGGAUUUACCAGACGUGGGAUUCAGCGCGGCACCGUAGCGUCCUACAUCAGCUCUGCAGCCAAGAAGACCAGACUUACUCGUAAGAUCUUUGGGUUACUCCAGUCGCUCGGCGUUACUCAGGACUACAUGAAAAUAACGCAUCUAGGUGGCUUCCUCGGCGGCUGUUCUGUCAUACUGAUACAGUUGGUGAUUGGUCUGUAUGAUGCCGGGGAUUAACUGUACAAGCUCACUGUUCAGCACCAACAUCGACAACCAUCGCUCAACCUCACCAUCACACACCGCCAUCAAACACCAACAUCGAAUACCAUCAUGAGAAACCUUUACCAGGCACCAACAUCAAACACACCACUGUUCAACACCGCCAAGACGAGUUCGAAUAGUUAGCUAAACACUAGAUUUUAUUAAGGAAACUAUACUAACGUUUUCUACUAUCAGGGGAAAUAGGCUAAAUCUUGUGCCUGUCUUAUAUGUUACUAUUGUUAGGAACAAUGAUCUAAAAAUAACAGAUGUGUUUAGAAAAAAAGUGGAUUUAUCAAAAUAGAAAAGCUACUCAUUAACAAAAUCAAUUCAAGUCUAUAAUUUAUUAUGUAUUUAUAAAUUUAAAAUAUUUAAGUGGACAACUUGUAAUGGAUAAUAAUACCAUACAUUCCAUCAUAUUAUUAUGUGCAGCUUUAUCAAUAAGUUAUUUAAAUGUAAAAACAAAAUAUAUUUUUUUCUAACACG
RNA transcript from Physella acuta, 1157 nucleotides. RefSeq lists it as uncharacterized. Lineage: Eukaryota; Metazoa; Mollusca; Gastropoda; Physidae. The record is from RefSeq and is a predicted model, not a curated record.